GCUGUCGUCAGCUCGUGUUGUGAAAUGUUGGGUUAAGUCCCGCAACGAGCGCAACCCUUAUCCUUUGUUGCCAGCGGUCCGGCCGGGAACUCAAAGGAGACUGCCAGUGAUAAACUGGAGGAAGGUGGGGAUGACGUCAAGUCAUCAUGGCCCUUACGACCAGGGCUACACACGUGCUACAAUGGCGCAUACAAAGAGAAGCGACCUCGCGAGAGCAAGCGGACCUCAUAAAGUGCGUCGUAGUCCGGAUUGGAGUCUGCAACUCGACUCCAUGAAGUCGGAAUCGCUAGUAAUCGUGGAUCAGAAUGCCACGGUGAAUACGUUCCCGGGCCUUGUACACACCGCCCGUCACACCAUGGGAGUGGGUUGCAAAAGAAGUAGGUAGCUUAACCUUCGGGAGGGCGCU
RNAcentral lists this ribosomal RNA (406 nucleotides) under Escherichia coli. RNAcentral's name for it is "bacterial SSU rRNA". It matches the Rfam family "Bacterial small subunit ribosomal RNA", at positions 1048 to 1454 of the family's 1533-position model. Lineage: Bacteria; Pseudomonadati; Pseudomonadota; Gammaproteobacteria; Enterobacterales; Enterobacteriaceae. The record is from RNAcentral.